This is a non-coding RNA of Schizosaccharomyces pombe (fission yeast), 384 nucleotides long. The record is from the annotation of a GenBank genome assembly. Lineage: Eukaryota; Fungi; Ascomycota; Schizosaccharomycetes; Schizosaccharomycetales; Schizosaccharomycetaceae.
CUAUUAGGACAACGCCUCAAGUGACUGCAUUAAAACAUAAUACCGAAGCACUGACAUAACAGAGAGGUUCAGAAAGGAAUUUAAAGAUUGACUUUUUCGACAAACUUCAUGUUACAAGUCUUAUCGUUUGUGUUUAUAAAUCAUCAGCCUCUCUCUAUAUCUCUAUAUCUCUAUAUCUCUAUAUAUCAGAUAUAAAGAUGCAAGUUUUGAAGUAGACAUUCCGCACAAAGUCUAGUACACCAUGUCUCUUGUGCUCAGGCUGGUUGUCCUGCAAAAAUGUACAACAGGCAAAUGGAUGUUUCAUCAAAGAUGGACUCCUUUGUCUCAUACUUAUUGAUGGCGAAGCUAGAUCCGUUAUCAUCUUGAGAAAACACAUCGUUGUCU